Long non-coding RNA from Columba livia (rock pigeon), 22008 nucleotides. RefSeq lists it as uncharacterized. The transcript is spliced from 12 exons. The record is from RefSeq and is a predicted model, not a curated record. Lineage: Eukaryota; Metazoa; Chordata; Aves; Columbiformes; Columbidae.
CGGUGGGGCCGUUAGUCGCCGCCCGGGACCCGGAUGUGGCGGGGGUGGUGUUGGGCGGGUGGUGGUUUCCCGUGGCGGCCGCAGCUUCCCCCAGAGCUCUCUCCGGCUCUGCCCCAGCCUCGCUGCUGCUGCUGGGGCUCGCCUGUGGUUCUGCGUCACUCGUGUGACAUCGGCCUGGGCCGUGACGGCACUGCCCUGGGCGGCAGGCGGCUGCCUGGGCCUAGGCCUCGCCUCCUCUGAGCGGCAAAGCUUCGGGGCCAGCGCCCGGCCCGGUUUGGGGCCGCAGGCCUGCGGGCCCCGGUGCUCGGACUGGGGACCAGGGGCUGUUCCUAGGCCGGGGGGAGUUCCCGUCACCUGGUCAUGUCCUGCUGGCAUUGGGCACCACCUGACAUGGACUCCUUCCCUCGCUCUUCCUGCCAUCAUCACCUAGUGAUGGUGUGUGGCUUUUACCUCACCACCACUUCAGCUGGAUCCGUGGGUUGAUGGAUUGACAGCACAAGGGAUUGGAAAAACAGGCCUGGAGAUUAAAGGAGUUGGCUGGGGUUACGCCCACAUACUAAGUCAGACACAAAGCCACAAUUAGAACUGAAGUACCUCGCUGGCAGCCUUCUCAACAGUUUGGUUCUUAUGUGUUGCAUUGGGAACUGGAUGCAAAGCUGUUGUUCAAGCCAAAGACAGUAUCUAUCUCAUCCCUGGUCAAAGCCUGGAUUCUUCCCAAUAAAUGAAGUGCGGAGAGUUGCAACUUCUAUGAGUGGAUACAAAAUGUUAUAGACCCUCGAUACAAGAAGGCAGCUGGAAGGAGCAGUGUUUUUCCGAGAGGCUUUCUUCAGGUGGCAAUGGCAAUUUCUUGCAUGUGUGGAACAAUAAUAAUUACGUAUAGCAAAUGUCAAGACCGUGCUUCCAAUCACAGAAUCACAGAAUCACACAGAAUCACAGAAUCGACUGGGUUGGAAAAGACCUCAGAGAUCAUCGAGUCCAACCCUUGCUGCAGGAGCUGCAGAUCUGAACCUGACUGACAGGUUGUGGCAGGAUGCACAAGUGCCACCAGGCACCUGGGAAGGAAGCGUAAUAGCGGCAAAGAACAGAUUUUGCUGACGUGACUUUCUAGCAGCCUGUUUCAGCUCCACUUUAACAGCUCAUUCUGCUGAACUGAAUGCCAAAACCCAGCAUCUCUUGGAUCGCAGGAUUUUCUCUCUGCCAGGUUCAAAGUUCUUACAACAGUGGAUGUAUUAGUUUGCUCUCAAGAAACCCUUCGGUGUUUAUUAACUAAGGGUUAAAUUUCUUAAAGUUGAAGUAACUCCCUUGUGAGCAUCCCAGAAGUGGCAGGUAUCCAGUGGGUUCCCGAUACCUUCAAGCAACACUUUCUCUUCACCCAAUUAUAUCCUUAAUUUGAUGGCUUCUGGCAAUAAACUGUUUUGGAACCCCUUUCCCAAUGGGCAGAAAUACAUGCUGGUUUUCAAAGUACUAGGCUGUCAGCUGUGCCAAGGAAUUCUCUGGCAGACAACUCAUUAUGUCCACAGAUAGAGUCUGACAAAAAAAUUUGCUCCAAGCCACAAGUCAGAGGCUUAACCAUUGUUUGUGUCAAGUUGCUUUACAGCCUGUGAUUUGGGUGAGUUGGGUGGGAAUGUGGCUGUGAAGCAGAGUUCUUUGUUUGAGACACAGGCCCCCGCUUUAGCCAGCUUAUAGAGCCAUACGUAAAAUGGCCUCUUUGCUUUCACUUAACAGGAUGCCGUUCACCUUUCUGCUCUGCUGAGCACCAUUUCAUGACUUCACAGCCCAGGAAUUAAACCCAACACAAAGCAGCUUUACCAGAAAUUGUCUACAGAUUAAAUUAAAUGCCUGUUCUCAUACAGUGUAUCUGAAUUGUAUCAGACCCACUUCUCAGUUUACACACUUGUUCCUGUCAGUAGGAGUCAGCUACUGAAACACGCUGCAGUCCUUGGGAGCUCGUCUCUCAGUGGUUCGAUGAAAGUACCGGAGAUUUUGUGUGUUCAACAUGAUACUUGUUCUAUUGUGCUUCAUAAUAAGAAAAAAAGCUUAGUCUGCUAGUUUAACACCAAUGUAUUUCAUUGAUGUAGCUACUGCCACUAGCUCUGUUUUGUGCUGCACUUUCUAAAUUCCCACUGUCACAAUGUUUGGCAGUUUGACUCCUGGGGGGUUUUUUGUUCAAAAUUUUGAAGGAUGUGUAAAAUUCAGAUAAUUUGACAAUUAGAUAAAUUAACGUAAAAUAACCUUCACUAGUUUAAUUAAGUUGUGCCUUUUUUCCUUUCAGAUUUGUCCAUUGCAUUUUCAUAUGUGGGGAGUAUAAAGCUAUUAAUUUUAGGAAGAAAACUUUUAAACUUAACAAAAUUACAGACCCAGCCGUUCUCUACUAAAGUGGGUUUAUUCUGUAUUUCUUAUGUUUUUAUUUUCUCAUGAUUGUUUACUGUAUAACUGAAUUGUGCAACUGUUCGAGAGAAUCUUGACUCAGAAUAUGCUGCAACUUGCUUUUUGCUUAAAAAAAUCUAUCUCACCGCUGACGGUCCAGCUGGUGUAGCUGAUGAAUAGAUGAGUUUGGGGCUCAUCAUAUUUUUUAAUGUUUCACAACCUUUAAUUUCUCAUUAGCAGUAUGCUUCAUGGUUGCCAAACUUAUCCCAGCAAUCUUUCAAAGACCAACACAUUAUCACAUUACUCAAUAUAAUCUUUACAUAGAUUCUGUAAUGAUGUUAUAUGUGAAAGUUGUCUCAAAACUUGAAUUUGGUGCUGUAUUCCAUAAGGAUGCAAAGAGACCAUGGAUUUACCUUCGCAUUUCUGAAUGCAGAGGAAUCUGGUGAAAAGUUGGCCCUGAUUCAUCCAGCCUCAGUCAGAUUCUACAAAUGAUGAUUUUAUUUAUGAAAAAUGUCAAAGAUCACUCCUUGCAAAAGAAUAGUAUCAUCUUUAAUGACCAGACAGCCUUUAGAAUGAGUUGGUUUUUAACAUUAAGGUUUUAAUUCCUCCAAGUUUUAACAUGUUCUUGUGAAACAGUUAAUCAAUUGGACAACACUGAGUCAUUUUAAGAGCAGGUCAAGAAUUAAGGUGCUGUUUUAAACGGCACAUGGCUUUCUAGUCAGAAAAGGAGAUAGAAUAAUUGUUAAUUGUUUCCUACUAGUCUUUAAAAAAAUCAGCUUUUUUAGUUGCAUAGAAUAUGAAACUCUACUUGCUGGACAAAAUUUUUUUCUCUUACAAUUGAUUGAAGAGUUUUCAUGCCUAUUGUGCCAGGAAUGUCAUCUACUAACAUUAGAAAGAAGACUUAUCAUAAAUGAAAUGUUUUAUUUACUGCUGUGCAGUCAUCUUCAGACCACUUUUCUUGCCUUUGUUUUAACUGAUGCUUCUGGAAAUGACUGGUGGGUAGGUGGGAGCACAAGAUCCUCUCUGAUGGCUAUUGCACUUAACUAUUUUGGCAGAAGAACUUUCUUUUAUUCCAAAAUCGUGUCAAGUUUUUACAAAAGGGUUCUAAAGUGAUAGAAAAUGGAUGUAUCCUUUCCUGAACAAAGUGCCAAGAUCCAUCAGAUGAGUAUCACCACACUCUAAAGUCAUGGCUUUGUCAAAAUUCAAAGGGGAAUAUUGUGUUACGGCACUGGAAGUCUCUCUCCAUCACCACAAUGGUGUAUGUAUUUCUGUCAGCAACCCAGGAAGGGCUUCAAGAAAGAAAAGGAAAAUAUGAAGACUAUAAUUUCUACCAGGACUGUGAUAUCCAAGUACCUUCUUAGGAAAAAUGUGAGGAUAUAUGUCCUGUGCCUGCAGUACCAGCUGCAUCGCCUCCUUCCAGCACGGCAUUUGUAGUUACUCAGCCUGGCUUUGCCAAAGGUGUCUUUUAUAUUUAGGGAGCUGAAAGUACCAGCAAAAUGAGAACCCAUGAGAACCAUGUUGUUACCUUAAAUGCCAUGCUACCGGGGCAGUAUGUACACGAUCGUACAUGUUAUUCCACGCUAGACUUCACUUCAUUGCCCUUUCUUGUAUUGCUAAUAUAGUAGGUUUACUUCUUCCUACCCAGUCUCGGUCUGAUUCAGUGUUUGUUCCCCAUUCACAUGACCAGAACUCUCACCCAGAACCUUAUCAUUUCAUGUCUUGACAGCUCCAGUCGUCUCCAUUCUAGUCUCAACGAAUACUGGCUUGCAAGAGUUGUUUCUUUUAAAAUAUUUUUCUUCUUGUUAUUUUGAUGUUCCAUUGUUCCCUCUCUUGUCCUGUGAGAUUAUUUGCUUUAACUUUUUAGACCGCACCUUACCAUCUCUUCUGUACUUGAACGGCUGACUGUAUGACAUACGUAAUGCCAGCCUUUAUUGUCCUUUCAAGUGUUUCCAAUAAGUAUCUUUAAAUUCCCCCCUAUACCAUUUAAUGCAUGGUAUUAAGGAAAACUCCUCAGUGCUCUUUCAUAGUCUUUUCAUUCCUUCCUAAUUGAGACCUCUAAAUUCUACUGCAGUUUGACUAUAUAAUCAUAGGAGUAAUCUGUCAUAAUACUUCACAAAGAACGUGGAAAUACUUGGCUACUACCAAGUGAAGCUCUGGGACUAAAUUCAACCAAUACUAAAGUUGGCAAGACUCUUAUUAAAUACACUGCAGUCAUAUUCCUUAAGUACAAUUUAUGCAUUACAAUAUUACUUGUACUAAAGCUUACCAGGAAAAUGUUAUAUCUGUAUCAGCCCAUCUAAUGUACUUUUCUUGACAGUAAGUUGAUAGUAAGAAUGUGUUGGCUAUUCCUUUGUAUGUAUUAAGAAUAAGAAGUCUGUUUUUUCUCAGAUAUGGCUAUGGUCUUUCUUCCUGCACAUGGCAGUGUGGCAUCUAAUUGCUACUUCAACACCUCAGGCUCACAACAGAUUCCUCUGAAAUUCUCAAAACUGUUGCUUACCAACAGAUACCAAAAUUCCCCGAAUAUUAUUUAUGCUUUUGGAUACCAGGUUAUCUAAAAAGUUUGCCAUGCAUGAGCAGCUCCUGCAUCCCACACUGACAUGCAGCUUGGCAGUGAAGCCCCUCACAGGUUUUAACACAGAGUUGACCCAUCUCCUUCCCUCCUGGUGGAGUUCUCUCUGCCAGCAUGAUGGAUGGUGACUUUUGAGGCUGACGUGUCAUGCGCUCUCCUUGCUCUGCUUGGGUUUGGCUUUGAGUUGUGUUACUGUGAGGAAAAGCUUGACUUGGCUCGGGUUCCUGGGGCCAAGAGAGGAUUUUCAUUUCAGACACAUGUAAAGUGGGCAUGGAGCAAGCUAUGAACUGUCAAGUUAUCUUCUCGUAUAUUUUUUCUAAUGACUGGCGAUGAUUCCUUCACUUCACUUUCUGUCCUUGAUGAUCUGUUUGUAAGGUGCUUUGCUUUGCCCCAGCAUUUGUGCAGGUCCUGGGUGCCUGUCUCAGCGUGCUGUCUCUGGGUUGUUCCAGGACACAGACAGCUGGGCACUGCAGAGCGGAAUGGAGCUGUACCAAAGCCCUUUUGUGCAUUCUGGUGUAAAUCUCUUCUGAAAACGAGAAUUUGGGUCAUAUUUACGAGGAUCUAGAGGUGUCUAAUGAUGAAGAUAGGCAACCAAUGGUAUUUCCAAAGAAGUAUCUUAUAUUGUUUUUACAUAAUUUGCUAAUUUCAUAAUUUUCUAGAUCCCUCUCCCUGUUUUCUCUCUGCCUGUGAAAUCCCACAGUUGUGUAAGAGGCAAAAUAUUUGGGUGAUGAGCAAGUGGACGGGAAACUUAUCUACAGUUAUCUACUUAUGUAUCAGGGUGGCUUUGAACUACUUCAUUACAUGUUCAUUAGUUCACGUUACAGUUGAUACCGAGUGAAUCCUAUUAGUGUUUAGCACGUUACACAGCUUUGGAAGUGGUAAUAUGGGAGGCUUCUGGAAAGAAGUAGUUUGUAGCCUUAGAUUGCUGGGAAAGACUUCUUACCAUCUUCAUUCCAAGCUGAGAGGCAGAAACCAGGGACAGAGACUCUAAGGGAUCGUGAAGAAAGUUACAUUAUUACAGAAAACAACAGCAUUUUUGUUAGAAGCAAACAUACUAUAAGCUACCACAAAAUAGUAAGGUAUUGGACAAAUGUAAGUAAAUUUUUCAAAUAGGGCAGUAGCAACUUCGUAAGUAUUCAUUUCUCUUUCUAAUCAAUGAUGGCAUGAUCCAAGCAAAUAUUUCCCAGAUGCAGUAAAUUGUUGCUUUAAUUUCUGAUUUGAUUUUGAAGAGUGGAUUGUAUUGAACUUCUCUUAAGCAAUUUAGCUGAGAUUUCCAUUUAGGCUGGACAAGAUAAUAAUAGAACCUAAGUUUAAGUUUAAGGUUAAUCACUGCUGUGGCAGAGGGGAAUAAGAAGUAGAAUUUUUAAGUCAGCAAAUUUUAGUAUGUUUCAUUUGCAAAUGCAUAAUAUCACUAUAUAUAAGUGAUCUCUGAUAACUUUUAGUUGUGAAAAGGCCUGUAGGAAAGUAAUCUGAAAUUUAAAUAUGUAGAUAAGUAUUGGACCAAGAGUUAGUGUAGGAUUGAAUGGAAAGUAGAAAGGGAAACAUGGCAAUAAAAAUGGUGGGAUAAAAGCUGUCUAUAAACCUUCUGUGUCUGUAAUCAUUAACAAAGGCAGUCUGUAAAGUUUUUAUUGUAUUCUAAGACUAUGCAAAACUGCAUUAGAAUGUGUUUACAUGUACAUUUAGCAUAUUUAAAGAAACAUUCCUUGAAGAAUAUUUAGGAUUGAAAGCUACAUUCGAAGACAAUAUGAUAAAUGCAAGAGGGAUGUCUUGUGAAAUGCACCUUUAUUAAGCUUGAUUACUGCAAAAUAAGAAUCCAGUUAAGGCAUUGAAAAGAAAAAGACAGACCAUCUGUGAGGGAAUUUGCCACAGAUCUAAUGCUUAUCUAAUUUUUCAGAUAAAAUGGGCACUGUACUUUGCAGGGAAUGAAGAAGUUAGAAAUCAUUUUAGGUUGUAGUAUCAAAAUUUUGCCGGAAAUAUGAACAAAUUGGAUAAAAGCAAUGGAAACAAUGCUUAUAGGUCAGUUAAACACAAGGUUGUAAUCAAAUUCGUUCUUUGUAGAUGGUGACAUUACAUUCUACCAUGUUGCUGAAAAUUCUUGAAGCAAUGUUAUAGGAAAUGUAUUUCUUCCCCUGAGACAUCUUAUCUGAUUUUUAAAAGUGAACACAUGCACUAAAUUUCUUUUUGUCCCAGAAAUUCUACCAGUGUAUGUGGGGUAAUGAGCAGAGGUGGCUUUUGUGUUGCUUAACUGAAGACUGUUUCCCACAAAGAAACUAAUUCUUGGUUGAUUCUGCACAACCGAGGAAGAUAAAAUCUGUUCCAUUAAUUUUUCUACAGGCACAUCCAGACCACGGCUACUUUUGAUCCUGUCAGCUGUUCACCUUUAGCAGAAAGACUGCUGCUUGUCUCACAGAGGUUUAUGUGAACUGAAUGUACAACUCUUAAGAUGUUGGGCAUAGCCCUUCCAAGCUCUCGUGUCCCUCAAGAUACACCGAGAGCAGUUACUGAAUUGUGUGCUCUCAGGGUACUGACGGACUGAUUGCCACAACCAGUCCAUAACUGCCUAUAAUUUUCUUCUGCAAUCUCUUUUUGCCAUCCAAGCAUUUAGAUGCCUGUCUUUGACAACAGCUCUGGUGUGGCAUGGCUAUGUAACUUUCUGUCAGGCUGCUGCCAAACAGUCCAGUUGUGAGGAGGAGCUGUGAGAGAGGAAAGCAACUAAAUGGUGAGAAUCACAGAAUCACAGAAUGGCUGGUGUUGGAAGGGACCUCUGGAGAUCAUCCAGUCCAACCCACCUGCCAAAGCGGGUUCACCAGAGCAGAUCACACAGGAAUGUGUCCAGGGGGGUUUGAAUGCCUCCAGAGAAGGAGACUCCACAACCUCUCUGGGCAGCCUGUUCCAGGGCUCUGGCACCCUCAGAGUAAAGAAGUUUCUCCUCAUAUUCAGUACCUGUGCUCAUGUGUCCCACUGCCCACUGACCCAGGAGUUGCAUUUGAACUCAGGCUUUGGCUCCCUGGCCCGGCCUGGCACCUCCUCAUCGCUACAGACUUGCCUGGUGAUCUGGACUCUUGCUCGACGCUGUUGCCAUCUCUGGACCUGCUUUGCUGCUCCUGUUGGAGACUGUGGGCCGUGUCGAUGGGGUCACUGCCCUGUCUGCUGUGCCAUUGCCCUCGGUGCCUGGCUUGUCUCCCUUACAGAGCAAGGACAACUGGAAAUGUGAGAUCAUCAGGCAGUAUUUGUUUUGGAGCUGAGAAAAUACUACAAACAUUUCGGACUGCUUGUUUAUUUGAUUAGCGUGCUGGUUUGCCUGUUGUUCCAUAUAAUAAGACUCAACAUAUUCUACUUCUUUCUAACCGUAGAGGAAGAGACAGCCCUGGUCUCCUGCAUUUUUGUAAACAAACUGACAAAUAUACAAAUAGAUGGGCUAGGAUGUUUCUGUAAUUUAAGUAGAAGCCCACCUGAAAUACAGGUAGACAGAGAAAAGCAUAAAGCCAAAGGUACGUUCUAUAUAUGUUAUACAGAACAAAUAAAAUUUGAUGUAGAGAGUAGUCAUUCCCCUUCUGUGCUGCCUUAGUGCAAUGAUCUCAGAAGUCUAAGCAAAUGGAAACUACUACUUGGGAUGUUUUUCAUUCCUAUUGACUGAUUUUUUGGGAAAUUCCAUAUUUUAAUUAAAUUCUUAAGGCAAAUAUUUCUAAUAUAAGCUUAGCUGAUUUAAUAGAGAUCUAUAUAUUUUGCAUGUAUUUUCAGAUUAAUCAUAAAUUUAUUUUUUGAAAGUUGGAAUUCUACAUGUUGAAACAUGAACUUUUGUCUGUGUGCCAGGAAGGUGGGUUUCUGAACUAUGCUGCUGUUUGUGGCUGUUAGAGAAGCAAAGCAACAAUGCAGAGACAUAUGUUUUUAUGAUUGGUACUGUGGUUCUACUCUUAAGUACUUAGUUCUUUUGGUCAUGUUUUAUUAUUAAACACUGGAGCCUGCAAUAAUUAGCCAGGCCAAUAGUAAAGGUCAUUUGAUUUUGCUGGGUGUUUCAUUUUGUUCUGUUUAACCUUAAAUGGAGUGAUGGGGUAGUGCAGAUUCACUUCACAAGACAUACCAGAUGUAGGACAGGAUCUAGUUUAGCUAUUGGCAUUUGUCAGUCUCAGGAAAAGAAAAUGCCCAUGCUUAAUAGAAAAAGGCUCUAUCUUAUCUUACACAUCUCUAAACAAAGCAUUAGUUGUCCUUUCAUUUUUUUUUGCCUUGGUUUUGAUUUGUAUUGUUAAUGACUCCACUUAUACUUUGCCUUUGGUCAAUCAACACAGAGGAUCUCCUUUUUCAUUAUGCAGAGAAGUUUCUCCUCACCCCUCAUUCAGUGAGGCCUUGCUCCUCUUGAGCCUCUGUAGCCGUCCUUGCUCCCAUCAGCACCGCACACUCACCACCUCUUCUCUAAAGCCUUUAGCACCUCCACACUGUCAGUAUCUCAUGUUCUUUUUCUGCUGCUCAGCCUUUUCUGCUGACUCUGUAAUGCUCACAGUCUCAACUCCACUGACGGUGACUCUUUGACUAACUGCCCUGCUAGGGCUUCAGCUCUAGGUUUUUCCUCAGCUUCCAGUCCCCGUACAGCUCCUGCUUCACACGGCUGCGCUGUUUCUGUGCGGACUCGCAUGGUCCUUUCUUGUCCGUUUGUCACAUUUCAUUCCCACUCCUGGCUUGAGCCACAAGACUGCAUUGACUUUUUCACACUGCAGACAGGCAUGGCCAAGGGGGGUCACCUCUUUUGGAUGUGGUUUUAAUCUGUUCCCUACAGGUGCAGUUGUUUCCACCUGCUUUUUUGCUUUCAUGCCUCACUGAUCCCUCUCCUGCUCCCUUCUUUCUGCCUGAACUUUUCAUCUGUCUUCCUAUCAUCAGGAAUAUAUUCUUGCUACUAGCUACUUGUCCAUUCCCAACCAAUCUCCAUUAUUUCUUUCCCCUCUAAAUAAUUUCUGGCCAAUACACCAAAUAUAACUCCCCUUUUUCUUUCUUCCUUUCAUUUAUUGCGUUGACUUGUGCAUCAUCUUAAAUUAUUGAGUUGAAAGGUGAGAGAUUUGAAACCAAUAUGAAACGCUAUUUUGGGGCAGCACAUUCUUCAUGGAACAUCCAUAUGAUCCGGAUUGUGUUUCCUUUGAGUCUACAAUAAAUCAUCUGCUGAUGUCCAUAAGAGCAGUUUUAUGCUUUGUAUUACUCUAAAGCAGGUGUUUAUGUCAGCACUGCUCAGUUGUGAGACUCUUUCUUCAUGUUAGAGACAAGUAAGUGUGACCUGGUCUGCAGUCCUGCGUAUUGAGGAGGACACACCUGCUCUGAUAUUCAAUAACUUGUAACUGUUACAUACUUUAUAGUCUGUAAAUAUUUGCCAAGAUAUGAAUCAAUUGCCUUUUAAAGAAGAUAAGCACAGAUGACAGAAGAGGUGUUGCUAUGCUUUCUUGACAUUCUGAAAAAGCACAUAGAACCAGGAAAACUGCUGUUAUGUGUUCCUCUAAAUAUUAAGGCAAAAUUUAUAAUUCUGGUCAUAAGUUUACAUGAAGUUUGAAAUACUUCAGAAGAGAAAGCAAGUAUAGUUCUACAAACAGCUACCAAAAAAUAAAUCAAAUUGUGCUCUUGGGUGUAAUUAUUUUUAUGCAGGCCAUGCAAUAAAAACAGCAGAUACCAGUGUGUUGUGGCUUAGUUGUAUGCAUGUACCUUUUGCAGGCCUUUUGUGACUCAUGGCCUUGCUGUAGGAUAAGUUCCCAGUGAACCAUUCCUUUUCAUCUUGUAAAUGUGUGGUAGCACAGAUUCUACUUGAGAAAAGCACCUUUUUUAAAGGCCCACUGUCAAUGUGACACCUUGAUUUCAGAUUAUGAUUUUCAUGUAAAAGUUCUCUAACUGCCGGACCUGCACACUUGCUCUGGUUACUUGGAGUCAAGGUUGUGUAACCUUCAGUAGUAAAGACACAUCAGACAGAAUGUAGGUACCAGUCACAGAAAUUGCUUUACACUGCUUGGAGACUUGGGACACUAAUUAACAGUUCUGUUAAUGAUACAUGAGACGAAGGAGCCGUGUAAAUAGAUAAGACCAAUGCACAGAAAGCAGAGGUUUAUGGUAGGAAUGUACUGUUUUUCUAGAAACACUUCUCUGACUACAUUUCCGUUUCAGCCUUAGUUUAACAAAAAGGAAAGAUAAUUCCCUUCUUUUUUUAAAUGCCUGACAGAAGAUGGGUAGGGGGAGAGAGAACCUUACAAAGGGAGAGGGCAGGAGAAAGGCAGAGCAGCGUGCAGGUAUUCUCUAGCAGGUGAUAUUUUGUACGCACAGUGUGAGUCAAUACCAACAGGGGCCUUAAGCCUCCUGAAUCCCUCCACUCCUGGUAAUUCCACUCGUUAAAUGUGUGGGCAGCAGCAAGAAAAAAGACAUUUUCCUGUUGAAGAAGAGGAGAGAAAAUUCUGCAGGGCUUUACUCAGAGCCACAUUAAAAGAGGGAGAGCUUGCUGCCUCGUGACAUUACUUGUCACUGUCUAAGUAUGUUACCCAUAGUGUAUGCUAAAUCAUUUGCUUUCCAUGCGUCAUGGCUCUGGAGCAUGGGAAAUAAUACAAAAACUGCUAUUACAGUCUUAAUGUAUGGGGAGAGUUUCUGACUAUUAGCUGAAUUGGCAUGGAUUUCUUUUUCUAGCAGAGAGCAUCACUCCGUGGUCUAAAAACAGUUAGGAAAAAAUAGGGUCACAGGAAAAAAACCAGGAUCACAGUUUAUUUUUCUCACAGGUUUGUAGUAGGGGAUGUAUGUGAGCUGCUGGGAUUUCAUUAGAUCAGUGUAUUUUGGCAGAAGCUCUUGUGUCUUAUAUGGACUGUGCCGUGUGGGAUCCCAGCUACCGUGACUUUGGAAAAUACGUUGAAGAUGUUUCAAACAGACCUACUGUUUAUGUCGCAGCUGGUUAGAGGAGGAUCCCUGUACAUCUGCCAUCUGCCAAAGAGGAUAAUGUGUUCUGUAACUGGCAUUCUUAUUAAUAUUGUAAGCAGCAAACCUUGCAGAUAGAGCAGGAAACAGGAAUCGGGCUCAUGGUCUGAUCCUGACUCUGAUGGUGUUUUGUGCAACCCUUGGAAAAUGGCUUAAGCUGUCUUGCCUACUGGCUUCUUACACUGUGUAAUCAGAAAUGUUCUGUACUGUUUUGUCAUUUUCUGGUGGGAACAAAAAGCUACAUGUCUUUAUUUAAAACAUGCUCUGAUGAAAAGCUACCUAUGAACUAUUCAGUGCUCUUGUAGCAAAAUUCAGCUGCAUCUUUGAAGCUUUAAAAUGAAGCGAGCCUCACUUAUGAUAAGGGAAGAAGCGGAUCCUGAUGAUAUUCCUGCUUAUCCUUUAGUUCCUAUCAUAAUUAACAGCAAAGCUGACGGUGACCCUCAAACUGCUCUUAUGGUAUUGCUGAGCUCUAUAAACUAGCUGAGAGUGAAAGAAAACUUUGGUCACUGCCUUCCAAGCAGACUCUCCAAUAACCAUUGUAACAGUCCUUGUUCCCUCAAACAGCAAUGCCUUCCCACAGAAAUUUGCAGAGAGCUGAGAAUUGCCGUAUACUAUUAAUAGUAUUUAGACUGCAGUUCAAGGCUUUGAGUUUUUUCAUCUAGCACUGAUGAUAUCUCUGCGUAGCUCAUUAAGCCCUGUAACCCAAAUGAAAGACACCAAAGGAGUUGCCUGUGAAGCAAACGCACCCUUGCUUCUUGCUGUGGUGUCAUGGUACACCUAAUGCUGCGUGGUUAUCUUGGACCAUAACGUAUUUGGCAACGAGAAGAAAAUAUCUCUGGAGAUAGCGGAGAGAGGUGUUUUCAGUGUGAACUCAUGUCACCCUUCUUUUUGUAGCUUAUUGUCUGUUGAUGAAUUUUAAAGAAGCCCUUAGGGAUUUGGCACAGAAUAAAAGCAUUAUGCUAGCUUCUCAAGUCAGACUAUCCCAAACCUGGUUUGUGUUGCUUGUUUUCCUCUUAGCUGGGCUGAAGAAGGAACUUGCAUAAAGAGGAGCGAACUGGAAAUUGUUCGUAUCAUUCUGCGAGUGACUUUUUUCUGACAUUCUGAUUUAAGACAUUUCUGUAAAACUCCCUCAACCCAUCACAAGUAACUAAGAUUUUGUAACAGGUGCCACAAGCAGCUUCAGUGGUUGUCCAGCAUUGUAGUACCUCAUGCAGACCAAUCUUCAGAAACCAUCAGUUUGUUCUCAGUCACACCUAUGAUGAGUAGGAUAUGGGCUAGAUGUAGCUAUUGUGAUAGUUUCAGUCUCAACAUUGCUCAAGUUUUCUUGUAAAACUGACAGUGCUCUGCCUCUUUUCCGUGCAUCAUGUUUAAUAAGUACAUAAUCUGUACAAGGCAGUACUGAUAUUUGAAAAUCAGAAGUUGAUUUAUAUUAACUUAUAAGACAAAAUUUUGCAUGUUUUUCACCUGUGUUUUAAGUUCUGAUAUAGCAAAGGCUGUUUCCCUUCAGUAUAUAAUCCUGGAAGUACCUAACACCUGACACUUAUUUUCUUUUCCACAGCCAAUAAUUUUGCUGUUCACUAAUCACACUCCAUUUUUAUCAGAAAAGCUAGUGUAAAAGAUAUGCACUCACCACAUAACAAGCACAGCAGAUUUGCAGUAGUUGUAGUUUUGGCAGUAGUAUAAAUACAUUUUCAUGUUUUCAAUUAUACAUUAAAUCCUUUAUAGCUGCUUUGAGAGUUCUGGCAUAGAGUAUUAUAUGGUAUAGAGGGAUAAGAAGACCCAGAGCAAGGAGGAUGAAUAAGAAGUGGAAUUCCUAGUUACAACAGGCCUCUCACACUGUACAGGCUUUAACACAGCUAUUACCAAAGAUUUCUUAUCCAGUAACAAAACAAGCCAGUAGCACCAUUUCUACUGUUCUUUUUGUCUUUCCUUCCAGCUCCCUGGCAGAGGUCAGGGAAAGCCCCUCUCUUGCUCUCACAGCUGAGGCUGAUAAUUGCAACUGAUACUUAAUGCAAAGCAGGUGGGCAGCCAGGGAAGGCUUCUCCUUUUCCAGCCCUGGUAGAAAUCUGGGCUGGUGUCUUUCUCUGUGGUGGUUGAUCUGUGGUGUUAGCUGUGCUUGAAACAGGGAUGCUUGCUGGACUUCACAGAGACGACACCAGGGCAGUCAUUCUGUUGACACUCAGGAGCUCCAGAGCAGGACAAGAACAGGAGGACGAGAGCAGGGAUGCCAGGAAAAGCAAAUGUUGAGAGAGGAUAGAGUGAGGGACACGCAAAUCUGAAGUUCAUCAAGCUAAACUUAUAAUGGACCCUGUGCAUACCCGCAACCUCACACAUACAUGGAAGGACGGUGGUUUGAGAAAUGACCAGUACUGGAUGAGUUGAGACCGGUCACUGAUGCCCUCCGGUGUCUUUGCUCAGCUGGUGGUUUCAGUGAGACACACAGGAAUGGAGGCCUGCAGCACCCCUUAAGCUUAAUGAGGAUAUGUCCCAAAAUUGGAAAGGGCUAAUAAGACCCAAUAGAGGAGGAACUGAAAAAAAAGGAAAAAAAAAAAAAAAAAAAAGGCACAAUUCUAUUCACUGACCUAUAAGUUACGUGUGAUGUGGGUUUCUACAGUUUUAGUAGAACCCCUCUACCCCCUCCUCCUGCCCUGCCCACCUUCAUCAAGUUUCCAGUGUCUCCAGCGCAGCUCCAGCUCUCACAAAACAACAGCAAUCAUAUUACAACUUAAAACCAUUAACCAAUUAAGUGUCAUACCUCUUUACAAGGUGGGUAAUUAUAUGUGAACAUUGCUAAGCUACCGCUGUUUGGUGUAGCAGAUUGUUCAGCUGUUUCUGCUCAAAGGGUCCCAGACAACCCUCUGAAAGAUCAAGGUUGGGAGGUAGAGCUGUGUGUGGGAACUAUAGACAUCUGCUAACAGGCUGCUUAGCGCUGAACCCUCCUGUUACUCUUGGGUUUGUGAGCAUUAGGUGUGUUCUGCAUUUGUAGAGCCAAGUAGGCUGCAUUUUUGAAAACAAAACAAAAACAAACCAAAAAACCACAGAAGUCCAUGGCCCAUGUAGAGCUCACCAUUCUACACUUCAUAAAAUGUCAGAGUAACUGGUCUGUCGUCUUUGCUCGCUGCCCGUGCUGCCGUGUUCAUGUAAACCAGACUGUGCUUGGCCAGUGAGAAGCCAUCGCUUCUGCUGAAGGCAGCUCGUUAAUAAACUAAUGGCAUGAUGUUACAUGGGGUCUCCCAACCUGAAAUGCUGAUGACAUUUUUCCCCAAAGCUGGAAGAUUUAUGAUUUUUUUUUAACCUAAAUUAAUUAAGAAGCAGAACCUUAAUUAAGAAGCAGGUUGCUUCUGAAACAGCUAACCCACUUCAAAGGGCUGAAGCCUUAUACUUAAUGGCGAACAAAGAAGAGAAAACAGGGUCGAAACAGACAAUAGCUUUGUGUUGUUCGCAACCCAUUCAUCUUGCACAUGAGGGGGGUGCUCUGCUGGCAUUUUAAAAAUGGCAGCAGAACAUCUGCCACCCAAAAGGAGAACUGGGGUGUGUGGGAGGGGCAUGUGGUUUAUUCAAAAGCUGCUGUUCCCCUUUUGAAGCAGAUGAGCCAGAUAUCUGUACUUUUUUUUUUCCCUUUUCUGCCAAGUCCUGGUCAAGUUCCCAUUGAUUUCAGUGGAUUCAGGAUAUCCCUCAUUCUCUUUUUCUUUUCUUUCUUUCUUUUCUUUUCUUUUCUUUUCCUCCCCCCAGCUAGGUGGUUUUGCUUCAUGGAUGCAGCAGGCGAGUUGAUCCUGUUUCCUCCACUCCCCAUAGCACGUACAGCUGCGGGCUGAGGGGUGAGCGGUUCAAGAAAAACAAGAAAUAAGUCUCUUGAAAAAUGUCACAAUUUUCAGCUAACUCAGUUCCCACAGAGCUCAGCGUCCUUCUGGAAGAAACACCUCAACCUCAGAUAACUACAGUGUUCCCCAGUCAGUUCCAGUCAGCACUGGUACUAUUUAUACUAUGUAUUAUGUGAGAUUUUGAACAGGUCAUUCCUGCUUCUGGAAUAAAGGGGGAAAGGUGGCUUUUCCCAUUAAGCCAGUAUGGUUUAAACAAUGUUUCAAAAAAAAAUCCACCACCGUUUCUUUAAGAAGACACACAAGCUAGGGGCAGUCACCUCUCUUGCUGGUGAAAUGCCAGAACACAUCUGGAGCGGUUGCUGAACACAGCUUCCAGAUGUGCCGCCUUGAGUGCCAGCCCCACAGGCUUUUGUAAACGCUGCUGGAUGGCCACUGCACCUUUAGGGACGUGCACGGAUGCUGCUGCAAGUCCAACCUUGUGCUGCUUUGGAAAACGCUUCCAAAAGUCGCACCCAACCUCAAAAAGAGAUUGAUGAAACAGAUAAAUGCACAAACCACUUUCAUUUUCUUUAUUUUCAAUCGAUACUGUAUGAAUACAAAGUUUCUAGAAAGCUACAAAAAUUCUACCACUUUAUCAAGAAGGCAUCAAAAUGUGUCACUUUGCAAAGACAUGAAAACACCUGCAGUAACCGACACAAAAAUAGCAUUUUUAGAGUGAUGAAAUAAUUGCACUUAACUGUCAUGGAUAUUAAAGUUAUCACACAUAUGUACCGCGAAAGCUAGAAUACAUUUUUUUUUUUUACAAAGCACUUUAUAAAAAAAUUCUCUGCACACAAAACCUAUAAUUUUCAUAUUACUAUCAUACUAAAGAUAAAUUCACUUUAAAGCCAACACUUAAAACAUUUUAAACAAAAAAAGGUACCAGUACCUACACACAGACAAUAACAAAUACAAGAAUACUGUACUGCCAAGAGGUUUGACUGAAACUCCUUUUGAAAGCUUCUGCAAAUAUGUUAAGAAAACAUUGGAGAACAUUCACUUUUUUCCAAGAGCCUUCCCUCCCUGUCUAACCCAGAGGUACUUUAUCAUCAAAAGGCAAGUUCUACAUCAAAAGUUACCAGCAGCAGUACAAUAUUAAAGUAACCACUGACCAUAUAUGAAUAUGCUUAAGUCACAAACCCAUUUUAUACACAUUACACAAAUAAACAUAAAGUGAGAAUUCCAUUAAGUCAUUUACAAAUGUGAACAAAUGCACAUGGCAAAAAAACCCCAAAACAAAACAAAACCCCAACCUGUUUUACAUAAAAUGUACUGAAGAAUUAAAGGCUAUUCAGGUUUUCAAUGUUAUAAAAUUCUUUUGUUUUUUUUUUAUUUUUUUCAGGCACAUAUUGUAUUUUUUGUCUGCAGUCAUGAGCCUGAAUCAGAGGCCCAUAAAACAAAAGAAAACAAAACCACGUAUUCUAUAAGGAGGUAACAGGGAUCCGUCUCCUUUUAGUCAACUGAGUGCAUUUAAGAUUUAAUUUACACACUAAAACUAAUUACAUGUUCUUACCAAGAAUGACCUGAAAAUUUAAAAGAUGAAGAUCUCCAAAGGGAAAUCUUUGUACUUGGACUUAUCCAGCCUCAAUCUUUGUUUUAGGGGGCUAAACAUCUCCUUAUGAAAGAUAAGAGGGGGGGAAAGAGAUCAUCCUGAGAGAAUUACAAAACUGGGCUCUAUUGUACACAUGUGUACGUGUAUCCGUAUGGGGCAAGUAAAGGGCAGACAAAAGGUUUCUCAAUAUGAGUGAGUGAGUGAUCCAGGAAAACUAUAAGGGGACCUGCCUCCGAAAGCAAGUGUGCCCUGGGACUUGCAGUGGAAAGAUAAAUAGAUAUGGAUUAGUACGUCAAAUGUUGUAUCUGCCUUGAACUGGCCAGUUACUUACAUUCAACAUCAAUGUACACCCUUCAUUAUUUCAAAUAGCCUAUACCGUGGAGGUUUUAACGGAAGAAGCUACGGCCAAACUUAACGAGCUGUAGCUGCGGCAGAAAGGGAAAAAUGAGCAACAGGCAUUAUAUCUGCAAUUCCUUCAAAAUAGUGGUGCAGUACCUACAUAAAAUAACUCUGGAAUUCAAGUAAGUAAAACUACAUUUGUUAGUAGUAAUUUUUAACAGCCCCCAAUGGUACCGUUAUGCUUAUUUUAGUAUUUUUGUGAGACAGAAGUGUAGUUUAUCACAAAUAUUGACCAGUACAGCUGAAACGUUUGGUAAUGAUUUGGUAGUAACUGAAAAUAUACGCUCUAUUUGUGGGGCUAAAGUGUCUUUGCCCUACCUCAGUCUCAUUGAGUCGAACAGGAUUAUAGAGGUAAGUGAGAUUUAGACCUUGAAGGAAUAAUAAAAAUAGUAUUUUAGAGAGAGGGAAUUUGAAUUAUCACAAUAUUUACCACACAGUGUCACAAUAUUUCUAUAUAUAAAAAGUUAAUCUUAGUUUUCAUCAAAUACUUUAAAAAUCAAGGUUAAAUUGUAUUCAUUACUAAAUAAUCCCUCUGACAGCUUUUGGUUUUGCUGAUAUUUGUUCUUCCUAAUGUUGUUUUCUUAAAAUCUUGCUCCUCUUCCCAUCAGUUUUACUUGCAGUGUACAGUGUGGCCCCCGGUCACUGAAGGUAUCAAAUACAGACACAUUUUUUGAGAGGAGUUAUCCAAGAAAUCAUAUGGGAGACAAAAACCCAAACCAAAACAACCCUGUGUUUUGAAUCGUGCCAGCCAGAGCUAACGGCACCUUCAUCCCCAGUGCUCACACUCAGCAUUUCAAUGCUUAAAAACACACAGUUGGUUUACCCUACCUAUUGGCUGUUCUCCGUUGUCCUCUUGUUUUAUGCAUCUGACUUUCAGCAUGCACAACUUUGUACAGAAAAAUCUUCACAGAUACUGAAAUACUAUUAGAGGAGAACAAUGAAGUCACGUUUGCCCACCGUCUGAAAAUCUGCAUUAUAUGGAUCUCUCAUUAUGCAAAUGCACAACUGGAUGAAGAGAAUAGAAAUGUGAAUAAUUAUCAUUUUUAUGCUGGUUUGCGACGCUGUCAGAAAUGGCAAACAGUAGAUUAUUCUACAGCAUGUUGCUAGCAAAAUUACAUUGCUAUAAAUGGUGCUCUGCUGUGAAUGGAGGCCUGUAGAUUCAACUUAUUCCAAUAAACCAAAGGCAUUACGGUGAUAACUAAAUAUUUUUGGUCUCUCUACAAAUUGUCAUUAUUAUGGCAGCACUUUUCUAAGCUGGAAUUUCAAACCAAAGGCACUUUCAUGCUAGAGUGCAGAAGAGUCACAAUUAAUUAUUUGGUCAUGAAAUUUAAAAAGGCAGCAUUUAGUCAUACAAUUCACUUUUCACGGAGAACUAAGCAUCUGUAACCUUUCCUUUUGGUAUAGACAUUAAACUGCGUAGUAACGGGACUGACUUGUACAGAAGGUUGGUUUAGACCAAGCAGUCAAAGAGCUUUUCUGUGGGAAAAAAUACAGAUAUUUUUAAAAAUGGAACCAAUUAAUAAAACAAUAUAUAAAAUUUAUGUGAAGAGGCUAAAGGUACUUCUAAUAUAAUGCUAAGGCACUGCAUAUUGUAAUGCUUUGGCAGCUCUCAAUUAAAAGGUUCCUAGAAAAAAGUAACAGUAACAAGAUAAGUACUUCCAGCUUACAAAAGAGCUCACAGUUUACAGGCAGCCUGUUGGACUACACACCCCACACCGAACAGUUGAAGGAUUAAGGCUUUUAAGAAUUAACAUGUACAGGGUAUGGAUCAUUUACAGAAGCAUAAAGAAAAGACAAUGGAAGUAGAUUCCAUAAUAUUACAUAUGUGAACACCAAUAAACAUUGUGACUUUUUAUACCCUAUAGUUAUGGCAUAUGCAGUGUGCCAGAUUCUAUUACAAAAACUGUACCUGGUUUUGCAAAUUGAUUUACAUACUUUAUAUGCCUCAAAGAGUUUGCUUGUUAUUAAAAAGAAACAAAAAAAUCACCAAAACCACAAUUCAAACCCUAAGUAAAAGACAACUUUAGAACAAAAGAAAACAAAAAAGUAGUUUCUGACUUGUAACACCAAGUGCUUAGAAUAAAGGGCUACCGUUAGGCUGUUACAAUGCAGUGCUUUUCCUGAUGUGACUGUUAGUGUUAAAAAUGAGUGUUAGAAGAGACCUUACCAUGGACAUAUUCCUCUGUUCAGUUCAUGGAAUAUAAACCAAAAGAUCAUCAGCCCUAAUAUCCACAAGCAGCUAACAGCUAGACAUCACACAACCAUCCACCUCCUCGAGUCAGAGCGGGGCAGGCGAGGGAAUUUAAGCAGUCGCCCUUGCCCUCGGUGAUGUUUGUCUGUCCUCUACGCUGAGUCCUCACCAGUGCUGAGCAUGAACCUGCUCUGACACAGACGCGCAGCAACCCGCCACCUCGGCUAGAUAAUUCAACACCGGGCAAUUUUAACAGAGAGUACUAUGAGAAACAUAAAAUGCAAAAAUUAAGACUGACUUUUUCUCAAAGACUAUAGCACUGUGCUUGGGAGUAAAUUCUACACUUCAAUGGUGCAUGGGCACAUAUCGGUAAAGGGCAGGGAGGAGCGACCUGCUAAACGUUAACUGCUUUAAUUCAGGACUGCAAAAGACCUUCCCAAGAACGCUCUUUGCCGAUAGCUCAUGACUGAUCCUUGAGGUGGCUUGUGCUUGGCCGGGCAGCCCUCACUCAGCCUUGCAGACAAAUGCUUUGUGUGAGCACCCGCUGCAGGCCCAGCACCUGCUCAAACAACAGCUGCGUGGGCAACUGCGGGGCAGCGCUGGCGGGUGAAAAGCAACUGAGCAACGCCCGCUGGUGUAGCCAGGAGGAAUGAGGCUGCUCCUCUCACAUGUGCGUUCCUCAGACAAUCACUCACACCCACAUCCACGGUUUGAAUCCUUACAGUAUUAAAAUAUCUCCAGCUGUGCUUCACUUUCUGGAGUCUUCCCUGAAUAUAGCAGAAGGAUGAAUGCUACCACAUCUGGAGGCAAAAGGACAUCAGACCCCACGUGGUACCUACGUGUUUGUGUCAGAUACAGUCUUUGCCAGCCAGAACUGGAGAGACAACUGCGAGAGGUGUAAGAGCACCAUGAUAAAGAAGGAGAAAACAAAACAUCUCCAGUUUCCAAUCUUUGCCUGAUGUUGGUUGUGAUUUUCUAGCGCCUCAUAGAUAUUAAAGCUGUUGAUCCUUUAAGCAGCGUACAUACUCUUCUUACGAACACAUUAGUGUUUUACUUUCAGUUUAUGAGUUACUCACAUGUCAGUUGUUUCCAUUCAUCUGAUAAAUUCAGAGUUGCGAGUUUUUUGCUCAACUUAUUAGAAAACAUAGUUGUCCAUAUAAAAUAUAACUGCACACACAAGACUACAUAUAAUGCGAGUCUAAAUCUUCAGUAUUUACCUACUUAUUGCAAAAUGAGCCAUCUUUUUCAUUAAAUAAUCAAAUUUUCAUAUUAGUACAAUACAACUUUAUAUUCUUUUAAAAUACACUAGAUAUGUUAGGGAUAAGGGAUGAUGUUUUCUUUCUCUGCAAUACCUGUUUGGAAGUUUAAUGGAUUAGAAGAUUAGUUUUAGCAUUGAGAAAAAAAUACAAAAUUUGCCUAAUUUUAGGACCUGUGUGUUUCUAUCAGGCAUUUCUUAAGGCUAUAUUUUUCAUUUGGUUUCAAACAGAAAAAUGUUUCAUUUUAAAAAAUAAUUUAGUGAAUUACAUUCGUCCAUAUCUUCCACCCUAAUUAGUUACAAAGAUAAUUCUAUAAAGAUUAUUAACUUUGUGUACUCAUUUACAGUUACAGCUAAAGAUUCAUUUCGAUUUCACUUGCAUCGUAAAACAAGUAUCUCAUGUUGGAAAAAAACCCAAAAUAAAUUCUUAUAAAAGCUGUCAGUUUUUCCCCAUGGCAAAUGCUCUGUCAUACAUUUUUCUAUCAGAAUUAAAAAUAGGCCUCCACAGACAGAGGCGUUAGGUUCUUAAAUACAGUCUUCCCAAAGAACUGUGGUUUACAAAUUUGAAGAACACUUAGUUUUAGAAAUAAUUUUUACAACUGUACCAGAAUUUCACAGCUACAAUUAUAUAUGAACACAUUAAAAAUGACUUCACUAAAACAGGAUUUAGAAAAAUGUGGGUGAAAGGUGGGCCAGAGGCACUGCCACUUAGUGUUGAGGUUUACAGUCUGUGUUUUGAUAAAGAAGUGAAAUGAAGUGUAUAUAUAAAUAACUGCUCAGUCCUUUACAAGCCUGUAGAUGUGAUGCUGUGCUCCAUGUUCGCUGUUCGACACUUCGAAUACACACGCCAUGCAGAGCAGGGUUUCUUGUGUAUCCCUGUUUGUUACAACC